Molecule: ribosomal RNA, 1128 nt
Filed under: Triticum aestivum (bread wheat)
Lineage: Eukaryota; Viridiplantae; Streptophyta; Magnoliopsida; Poales; Poaceae
Description: partial small subunit ribosomal RNA
Source: RNAcentral
AUGCCGCGGUGGCGGGGUGGCCGGGGGGAGUGGUUUCUUCUGGGGCUCCGCUCGGGGACAGUCCGCAGGGCUGUAGCUUUGCAUGCACUGACCUGUGUCAGAAGACGGUGGCUCGGGCAGAGUGAGGCAUUGGAUGCUGCACGCUGGCCUUGGCGUCGCGCAGUGGCCCCGCGGCCCGACGCAGAGUGCCGCGCCGCACGGAGAGGAACACCGCACCGAGCUAAUGCGAGGACGGGGUGGCGCGAGCUCGAGCGUGUGCGUCGAAAAAGCGGCACGAGGAAUUGGGUCACCUCCCGCCGAAUCGAACACUUAGCCCCCGACGGCUUUGCCCUCCUGCUGAUUCCUUGCCACCAUCUCCCCCACACGCUCUUUGUCCCAGGCGAUUUCAUGGACGACCAACAGGUAAGCACAUCUUCUCCGAUCGGCACUGGACGGCGACGACACUUCGUCAUCCUCCUCUUCUCCGACGACUUCCGCGUCGACUCCCUACUCCUUGAUGGUUUAUGGCCGAUAUGUAGUUGCGGCAGCCGCGUAUGUAAUGCUUCGAACUCAUUGGUAGCACUCUUGUAUGCAUGUGAACAUGAGCAUCCAAGAGUUCAGCCAGGCCAUUAUUCUGUUCGGCCAGUGUAUGCCGUCCUAUGUCGAGGACUCCUAAUCCAAGAGAUACUUCAGGAUUCAGAGGUGUUCGAGGUGCCUAUUCAGCCCUCAUUUGUGAUGGCCAUGCCUAAUGCUACAACUACUGCCGCACAUAAGACAACCAUGAAGGCUGGGAAGGAGAAGGUCUUUGGCAGGGGGAACACAAUGAAGUGGUUGCCUUUUCUGUCCACCUUCAUGCUUAACAAGAUGUGCGAGAUCAUGUCCAAUGGGGGAAGGACUGACAAUGUCUUGAAGGAGGUGCACAUGAACAAUGUUGCAAAGCGGAUCUUCGACUUCUAUGUCCAAGAGGUGACCUCGACCCAGUCUGGGACCACCGUGGUCGUUGUACUACCGACUGCGCCGCCCAGGCCUUGCCAGACCUUUGCCGUGCCACACGGGCGUCAACCGAGUUGCCUACACUUCAAUUCCAACCCUGGUCCGGCCGCCACCCAGGUCCACUUCAUUCCUGCACAUUGUGUACAUGGAUUGUAA